CCUACGGGAGGCAGCAGUGAGGAAUAUUGGUCAAUGGACGCAAGUCUGAACCAGCCAAGCAGCGUGCAGGAAGACGGCUCUAUGAGUUGUAAACUGCUUUUGUACGAGGGUAAAUCCCGAUACGUGUAUCGGGUUGCAAGUAUCGUACGAAUAAGGAUCGGCUAACUCCGUGCCAGCAGCCGCGGUAAUACGGAGGAUUCAAGCGUUAUCCGGAUUUAUUGGGUUUAAAGGGUGCGUAGGCGGUUCGUUAAGUUAGAGGUGAAAUCCCGGGGCUCAACUCCGGCACUGCAUCUGAGCCUGUCGGGCUAGAGUUUAGUUGCGGUAGGCGGAAUGUAUGGUGUAGCGGUGAAAUGCAUAGAGAUCAUACAGAACACCGAUUGCGAAGGCAGCUUGCCAAACUACGACUGACGUUGAGGCACGAAAGCGUGGGGAGCAAACAGGAUUAGAUACCCGGGUAGUC
RNAcentral lists this ribosomal RNA (460 nucleotides) under uncultured bacterium. RNAcentral's name for it is "partial 16S ribosomal RNA". It matches the Rfam family "Bacterial small subunit ribosomal RNA", at positions 338 to 795 of the family's 1533-position model. The record is from RNAcentral.